UGCUUGUCUCAAAGCUUAAGCCAUGCAAGUCUCAGUACGAGCUGACUUAAAGUGAAACCGCAAAAGGCUCAGUAAACCGGUCAUAGUUUACCGGAUAUAUGCCACUCACGUGGAUAACUGUGGUAAUUCUAGAGCUAAUACAUGCAAAAAAGUCCCGACCAGCGAUGGAGAGGACGCUUUUAUUGGAUCAAAACCUCUCGCCCGGCUUGUCCGGGCGUCGGCUUGAUGACUCUAGAUAACACCACAGAUCGCACGGUCACAGUACCGGUGACAUAUCCUUCAAAUGUCUGACUUAUCAGCUGUCGAUGGUAGACUCUGUGUCUACCAUGGCCCUCACGGGUGACGGGGAAUCAGGGUUCGAUUCCGGAGAGGGAGCCUGAGAAACGGCUACCACAUCCAAGGAAGGCAGCAGGCACGCAAAUUACCCACUCCCGGCACGGGGAGGUAGUGACAAAAAAUAACGAUACGGGACUCAUCCGAGGCCCCGUAAUCGGAAUGAGAACACCCUAAAUCCUUUAACGAGGAUCUAUUGGAGGGCAAGUCUGGUGCCAGCAGCCGCGGUAAUUCCAGCUCCAAUAGCGUAUAUUAAAGUUGUUGCGGUUAAAAAGCUCGUAGUUGGUUCUGCGUGCCACGCUGUCGGUUCACCGCCUGCCGGUGCAACUGGCAUGCCGUGGCAUGUCCUGUCGGUGGCGGAUAGGCUUCGCGGCGCGCCCUAUGCGGUAAACCAGCGUGUAGGUUGCUGCGCCGCGUUGUCCUUGUACGCCGGCUCAAUCCUACCGCGGUGCUCUUUACCGAGUGUCGAGGUAGGCCGACACUGUUUACUUUGAACAAAUUAGAGUGCUUAAAGCAGGCUCUUAAAUCAGCCUGAAUAGUGGUGCAUGGAAUAAUGGAACAGGACCUUGGUUCUAUUUUGUUGGUUUUCGGAAUCCAAGGUAAUGAUCAAUAAGGACAGGCGGGGGCAUUCGUAUUGCGGCGUUAGAGGUGAAAUUCUUGGAUCGUCGCAAGACGCACUAGAGCGAAAGCAUUUGCCAAGUAUGUCUUAAUUGAUCAAGAACGAAAGUUAGAGGUUCGAAGGCGAUCAGAUACCGCCCUAGUUCUAACCAUAAACGAUGCCAGCCAGCGAUCCGCCGACGUUCCUCCGAUGACUCGGCGGGGAGCUUCCCCCGGGAAACCAAAAGCUUUUGGGUUCCGGGGGAAGUAUGGUUGCAAAGCUGAAACUUAAAGGAAUUGACGGAAGGGCACCACCAGGAGUGGAGCCUGCGGCUUAAUUUGACUCAACACGGGAAACCUCACC
Molecule: ribosomal RNA, 1294 nt
Filed under: Chariesterus armatus
Lineage: Eukaryota; Metazoa; Arthropoda; Insecta; Hemiptera; Coreidae
Description: SSU rRNA
Rfam family: Eukaryotic small subunit ribosomal RNA
Source: RNAcentral